This 884-nucleotide ribosomal RNA is filed under the name uncultured bacterium. RNAcentral's name for it is "bacterial SSU rRNA". It matches the Rfam family "Bacterial small subunit ribosomal RNA", at positions 507 to 1384 of the family's 1533-position model. The record is from RNAcentral.
GUCAGCAGCCGCGCGGUAAUACGGAGGGUGCGAGCGUUAAUCGGAAUUACUGGGCGUAAAGCGCACGUAGGCGGCUGGGUCAGUCGGAUGUGAAAGCCCCGGGCUUAACCUGGGAAUUGCAUUCGAUACUGCCCAGCUAGAGUAUGGGAGAGGGAAGCGGAAUUUCCGGUGUAGCGGUGAAAUGCGUAGAUAUCGGAAGGAACACCAGUUGCGAAGGCGGCUUCCUGGACCAAUACUGACGCUGAGGUGCGAAAGCGUGGGGAGCGAACAGGAUUAGAUACCCUGGUAGUCCACGCCGUAAACGAUGAGAACUAGAUGUCGGGAGGAUUUGCCUCUCGGUGUCGCAGCUAACGCGUUAAGUUCUCCGCCUGGGGAGUACGCCGGCAACGGUAAAACUCAAAGGAAUUGACGGGGACCCGCACAAGCGGUGGAGCAUGUGGUUUAAUUCGACGCAACGCGCAGAACCUUACCAGCUCUUGACAUGGGAAGUAUGGUCACCGGAGACGGUGACCUUCAGCUAGGCUGGCUUCCACACAGGUGCUGCAUGGCUGUCGUCAGCUCGUGUCGUGAGAUGUCGGGUUAAGUCCCGCAACGAGCGCAACCCUCGCCUUUAGUUGCCAUCGGUUCGGCCGGGCACUCUGAAGGAACCGCCGGUGAUAAGCCGGAGGAAGGUGGGGAUGACGUCAAGUCCUCAUGGCCCUUAUGGGCUGGGCUACACACGUGCUACAAUGGCGGUGACAGAGGGCUGGCGAAGCCGUGAGGUGGAGCAAAUCCCUUAAAAGCCGUCUCAGUUCGGAUUGUUCUCUGCAACUCGAGAGCAUGAAGUUGGAAUCGCUAGUAAUCGUGGAUCAGCAUGCCACGGUGAAUACGUUCCCGGGCCUUGU